This 465-nucleotide ribosomal RNA is filed under the name uncultured bacterium. RNAcentral describes it as "partial 16S ribosomal RNA". It matches the Rfam family "Bacterial small subunit ribosomal RNA", at positions 28 to 507 of the family's 1533-position model. The record is from RNAcentral.
GACGAACGCUGGCGGCGUGCUUAACACAUGCAAGUCGAACGGAAAGGCCCUGCUUGCAGGGUACUCGAGUGGCGAACGGGUGAGUAACACGUGGGUGAUCUGCCCUGCACUUCGGGAUAAGCUUGGGAAACUGGGUCUAAUACCGGAUAGGACCGCACUUUAGUGUGUGUGGUGGAAAGUUUUUUCGGUGUAGGAUGAGCUCGCGGCCUAUCAGCUUGUUGGUGGGGUAAUGGCCUACCAAGGCGGCGACGGGUAGCCGGCCUGAGAGGGUGUACGGCCACAUUGGGACUGAGAUACGGCCCAGACUCCUACGGGAGGCAGCAGUGGGGAAUAUUGCACAAUGGGCGCAAGCCUGAUGCAGCGACGCCGCGUGGGGGAGGAAGGCCUUCGGGUUGUAAACUCCUUUCGCUAGGGACGAAGCUUUUUGUGACGGUACCUAGAUAAGAAGCACCGGCUAACUACGUG